This 494-nucleotide ribosomal RNA is filed under the name uncultured bacterium. RNAcentral describes it as "partial 16S ribosomal RNA". It matches the Rfam family "Bacterial small subunit ribosomal RNA", at positions 28 to 507 of the family's 1533-position model. The record is from RNAcentral.
GACGAACGCUGGCGGCGUGCUUAACACAUGCCAGUCGAACGGAAAGGCCUGCCUUCCCUUGUGGAUUGCGGGUACUCGAGUGGCGAACGGGUGAGUAACACGUGAGUGAUCUGCCCCCAACUUGGGUAUAAGCCUGGGAAACUGGGUCUAAUUCCCGAUAGGACUGCAGGGUGGUGCCUGUGGUGGAAAACGAUUUUCUAGUGGUUGGGGAUGAGCUCGCGGCCUAUCAGCUUGUUGGUGGGGUAAUGGCCUACCAAGGCGGCGACGGGUAGCCGGCCUGGGAGGGUGGACGGCCACAUUGGGACUGAGAUACGGCCCAGACUCCUACGGGAGGCAGCAGUGGGGAAUAUUGCACAAUGGGCGGAAGCCUGAUGCAGCGACGCCGCGUGGGGGAUGACGGCCUUCGGGUUGUAAACUCCUUUCGACCGCGAGGAAGCCACCUGGUUGGAAGGGUGGUGACGGUAGUGGUAGAAGAAGCACCGGCUAACUACGUG